RNAcentral lists this small RNA (124 nucleotides) under Marmota monax (woodchuck). The record is from RNAcentral. Lineage: Eukaryota; Metazoa; Chordata; Mammalia; Rodentia; Sciuridae.
GCUGGGUGUAGUGGCACACACCUGUAAUCCAGUGGCUUGGGAGGCUGAGGCAAGAGGAUCACAAGUUCAAAGCCAGCCUCAGCAAAAGCAAGGCACUAAGCAAUUCAGUGAGACCCUGUCUCUA